RNAcentral lists this unclassified non-coding RNA (793 nucleotides) under Gibellulopsis nigrescens. RNAcentral's name for it is "sequence contains 28S rRNA gene". It matches the Rfam family "Eukaryotic large subunit ribosomal RNA", at positions 83 to 900 of the family's 3401-position model. The record is from RNAcentral. Lineage: Eukaryota; Fungi; Ascomycota; Sordariomycetes; Glomerellales; Plectosphaerellaceae.
GUAACGGCGAGUGAAGCGGCAACAGCUCAAAUUUGAAAUCUGGCUCCUUCGGGGCCCGAGUUGUAAUUUGCAGAGGAUGCUUCGGGUACGGGUUCCUUCCCGAGUUCCUGGAACGGGACGCCAUAGAGGGUGAGAGCCCAGUCUGGUAGGACACCCAGCCCGUGUGAAGCUCCCUCGACGAGUCGAGUAGUUUGGGAAUGCUGCUCUAACGGGAGGUAUACUCCUUCCAAGGCUAAAUACCGGCUGGAGACCGAUAGCGCACAAGUAGAGUGAUCGAAAGAUGAAAAGCACUUUGAAAAGAGAGUCAAAUAGCACGUGAAAUUGUUGAAAGGGAAGCGCUCGCUACCAGACAUGGGUUCGGCGGUUCAACCGGGGCCACGCCCCGGGGCACUCCGCCGGCCCAGGCCAGCAUCAGCUUUCCGUCGGGGGCAAAGACGUCGGGAAUGUGGCUCCCCUCCGGGGGAGUGUUAUAGCCCGGCGUGUCAUACCCUUCGGGGGGCUGAGGUACGCGCUUCUGCAAGGAUGCUGGCGUAAUGGUAGCUAGUGACCCGUCUUGAAACACGGACCAAGGAGUCAACCUUAUGUGCGAGUGCCCGGGCGUAAAACCCCAGCGCGGAAUGAAAGUGAACGUAGGUGAGAGCUUCGGCGCAUCACCGACCGAUCCUGAUGUCCUCGGACGGAUUUGAGUGAGAGCAUAUAGGGUUGGACCCGAAAGAAGAUGAACUAUGCGUGUGUAGGGUGAAGCCAGAGGAAACUCUGGUGGAGGCUCGCAGCGGUUCUGACGUGCAAAUCG